This 69-nucleotide transfer RNA is filed under the name Marmota monax (woodchuck). Its description in RNAcentral is "tRNA.Ala". Lineage: Eukaryota; Metazoa; Chordata; Mammalia; Rodentia; Sciuridae. The record is from RNAcentral.
GGUAUUGUGGCUCAGUGGUAGAGCAUUCCCCUAGCCCGUGUGAGGCCCUGGGUUUGAUCCUCAGCACCA